This 492-nucleotide ribosomal RNA is filed under the name uncultured bacterium. RNAcentral's name for it is "partial 16S ribosomal RNA". It matches the Rfam family "Bacterial small subunit ribosomal RNA", at positions 29 to 507 of the family's 1533-position model. The record is from RNAcentral.
AGUGAACGCUGGCGGUAUGCCUAACACAUGCAAGUCGAACGGCAGCACAGUAAGAGCUUGCUCUUACGGGUGGCGAGUGGCGGACGGGUGAGGAAUACAUCGGAAUCUACUUUUUCGUGGGGGAUAACGUAGGGAAACUUACGCUAAUACCGCAUACGACCUACGGGUGAAAUCAGGGGAUCUUCGGACCUUGCGCGACUGAAUGAGCCGAUGUCGGAUUAGCUAGUUGGCGGGGUAAAGGCCCACCAAGGCGACGAUCCGUAGCUGGUCUGAGAGGAUGACCAGCCACACUGGAACUGAGACACGGUCCAGACUCCUACGGGAGGCAGCAGUGGGGAAUAUUGGACAAUGGGCGCAAGCCUGAUCCAGCCAUACCGCGUGGGUGAAGAAGGCCUUCGGGUUGUAAAGCCCUUUUGUUGGGAAAGAAAAGCAGCAGGUUAAUACCCCGCUGUUCUGACGGUACCCAAAGAAUAAGCACCGGCUAACUUCGUG